CCUACGGGAGGCAGCAGUGAGGAAUAUUGGUCAAUGGGCUGGAGCCUGAACCAGCCAAGUCGCGUGAGGGAAGACUGUCCUAUGGGUUGUAAACCUCUUUUGGCAGGGAGCAAUGCCGGCUACGCGUAGCCGGACGGAGAGUACCCGCAGAAAAAGCAUCGGCUAACUCCGUGCCAGCAGCCGCGGUAAUACGGAGGAUGCGAGCGUUAUCCGGAUUUAUUGGGUUUAAAGGGUGCGUAGGCGGAUUGCUAAGUCAGCGGUAAAAU
RNAcentral lists this ribosomal RNA (266 nucleotides) under uncultured bacterium. RNAcentral describes it as "partial 16S ribosomal RNA". It matches the Rfam family "Bacterial small subunit ribosomal RNA", at positions 338 to 600 of the family's 1533-position model. The record is from RNAcentral.